RNAcentral lists this ribosomal RNA (497 nucleotides) under uncultured bacterium. RNAcentral describes it as "partial 16S ribosomal RNA". It matches the Rfam family "Bacterial small subunit ribosomal RNA", at positions 28 to 507 of the family's 1533-position model. The record is from RNAcentral.
GAUGAACGCUGGCGGCGUGCCUAAUACAUGCAAGUCGAGCGAACAGAUGAGGAGCUUGCUCCUCUGACGUUAGCGGCGGACGGGUGAGUAACACGUGGAUAACCUACCUAUAAGACUGGGCUAACUUCGGGAAACCGGAGCUAAUACCGGAUAAUAUAUUGAACCGCAUGGUUCAAUAGUUAAAGACGGUUUUGCUGUCACUUAUAGAUGGAUCCGCGCCGCAUUAGCUAGUUGGUAAGGUAACGGCUUACCAAGGCAACGAUGCGUAGCCGACCUGAAAGGGAGAACGGCUACACUGGAACUGAGACACGGUCCAGACUCCGACGGGAGGAAGCAGUAGGGAAUCUUCCGCAAUGGGCGAAAGCUUGACGGAGCAACGCCGCGUGAGUGAUGAAGGUCUUCGGAUCGUAAAACUCUGUUAUUAGUGAAGAACAAAUGUGUAAGUAACUAUGCACGUCUUGACGGUACCUAAUCAGAAAGCCACGGCUAACUACGUG